RNAcentral lists this long non-coding RNA (416 nucleotides) under Physcomitrium patens. Its description in RNAcentral is "long non-coding RNA (PPAT_LNC013372)". The record is from RNAcentral. Lineage: Eukaryota; Viridiplantae; Streptophyta; Bryopsida; Funariales; Funariaceae.
CUUAGCGUUCACUUGCUUCUAGGAGAGACGAACACUAGUGACAUGUACUAGACGGCACUUGUGAGGAUUGUCCAGUGGACAGAGAUCCCAAGUAAUGAUUAUUGAUGGUCGGCAAGAAAGGACGUGGAUGCAACUAAGACUCUGAAACCGCCCGAUAUAAAAUUUGUGUCAAUAAUGAUCACUGGGUCCGUUUCCAGAUUAAGGUUAGUGUCCUCCAUAAAUCCUCCCAAAGGCACAUACAUUUGUCGAUGGAAUGGAAAGAACUUGCAUACGACCAAUCCAUAUAUGCACACGUUGUAAUCUACUCGUCUGCAGCAGUCAGCCACAUAAUUUCCCUUCUGUGGUGUAAGCAAAACGAAACAUAUGUAAAGGUCAAGACUUGAAUUGGUGGUUCAACUUUCGAGUUUCUCACGGCG